AUGCAAGUCGAGCGGAAACGAGUUAUCUGAACCUUCGGGGGACGAUAACGGCGUCGAGCGGCGGACGGGUGAGUAAUGCCUAGGAAAUUGCCCUGAUGUGGGGGAUAACCAUUGGAAACGAUGGCUAAUACCGCAUAAUGCCUACGGGCCAAAGAGGGGGACCUUCGGGCCUCUCGCGUCAGGAUAUGCCUAGGUGGGAUUAGCUAGUUGGUGAGGUAAUGGCUCACCAAGGCGACGAUCCCUAGCUGGUCUGAGAGGAUGAUCAGCCACACUGGAACUGAGACACGGUCCAGACUCCUACGGGAGGCAGCAGUGGGGAAUAUUGCACAAUGGGCGCAAGCCUGAUGCAGCCAUGCCGCGUGUGUGAAGAAGGCCUUCGGGUUGUAAAGCACUUUCAGUCGUGAGGAAGGUGGUGUAGUUAAUAGCUGCAUUAUUUGACGUUAGCGACAGAAGAAGCACCGGCUAACUCCGUGCCAGCAGCCGCGGUAAUACGGAGGGUGCGAGCGUUAAUCGGAAUUACUGGGCGUAAAGCGCAUGCAGGUGGUUUGUUAAGUCAGAUGUGAAAGCCCGGGGCUCAACCUCGGAAUAGCAUUUGAAACUGGCAGACUAGAGUACUGUAGAGGGGGGUAGAAUUUCAGGUGUAGCGGUGAAAUGCGUAGAGAUCUGAAGGAAUACCGGUGGCGAAGGCGGCCCCCUGGACAGAUACUGACACUCAGAUGCGAAAGCGUGGGGAGCAAACAGGAUUAGAUACCCUGGUAGUCCACGCCGUAAACGAUGUCUACUUGGAGGUUGUGGCCUUGAGCCGUGGCUUUCGGAGCUAACGCGUUAAGUAGACCGCCUGGGGAGUACGGUCGCAAGAUUAAAACUCAAAUGAAUUGACGGGGGCCCGCACAAGCGGUGGAGCAUGUGGUUUAAUUCGAUGCAACGCGAAGAACCUUACCUACUCUUGACAUCCAGAGAACUUUCCAGAGAUGGAUUGGUGCCUUCGGGAACUCUGAGACAGGUGCUGCAUGGCUGUCGUCAGCUCGUGUUGUGAAAUGUUGGGUUAAGUCCCGCAACGAGCGCAACCCUUAUCCUUGUUUGCCAGCGAGUAAUGUCGGGAACUCCAGGGAGACUGCCGGUGAUAAACCGGAGGAAGGUGGGGACGACGUCAAGUCAUCAUGGCCCUUACGAGUAGGGCUACACACGUGCUACAAUGGCGCAUACAGAGGGCAGCAAGCUAGCGAUAGUGAGCGAAUCCCAAAAAGUGCGUCGUAGUCCGGAUUGGAGUCUGCAACUCGACUCCAUGAAGUCGGAAUCGCUAGUAAUCGUGGAUCAGAAUGCCACGGUGAAUACGUUCCCGGGCCUUGUACACACCGCCCGUCACACCAUGGGAGUGGGCUGCAAAAGAAGUAGGUAGUUU
This 1402-nucleotide ribosomal RNA is filed under the name Vibrio campbellii. RNAcentral describes it as "bacterial SSU rRNA". It matches the Rfam family "Bacterial small subunit ribosomal RNA". The record is from RNAcentral. Lineage: Bacteria; Pseudomonadati; Pseudomonadota; Gammaproteobacteria; Vibrionales; Vibrionaceae.